GACGAACGCUGGCGGCGUGCUUAACACAUGCCAGUCGAACGGUGAACGAGGGAGCUUGCUCCCUCCGGAUCAGUGGCGAACGGGUGAGUAACACGUGAGCAAUCUGCUCCGAACUCUGGGAUAAGCGUUGGAAACGACGUCUAAUACCGGAUACGACGCGGGAGGGCAUCCUCUCCGCGUGGAAAGAACCUCGGGUCGGGAUGAGCUCGCGGCCCAUCAGCUUGUUGGUGCGGUAACGGCUCACCCAGGCGACGACGGGUAGCCGGCCUGAGAGCGUGGCCAGCCACACUGGGACUGCGGGACGGCCCAGACUCCAACGUGAGGCAACAGUGGGGAACAUUGCACAAUGGGCGCGAGCCUGAUGCAGCGACGCCGCGGGAGGGACGACGGCCUGCGGGUUGUAAACCUCUUUUAGCAGGGAAGAAGCGAAAGUGACGGUACCUGCAGAAAAAGCACCGGCUAACUACGUG
Molecule: ribosomal RNA, 470 nt
Filed under: uncultured bacterium
Lineage: Bacteria
Description: partial 16S ribosomal RNA
Rfam family: Bacterial small subunit ribosomal RNA
Source: RNAcentral